AAGUCGUAACAAGGUAACCGUAGGUGAACCUGCGGUUGGAUCAUUAAUGAAAUUUAAAAAGUUUUUUUUAUAAAAUCUUUUUUAAACAUUUCUGUGCAUAUGUUAUUGAUAAUAAGAGUUUAAAAGAGGAGUUUUCCUACGGGAUCGUUUCUCUUUUGGUUCUUAUUUCAAUUUCAAAAAACUUUUUUUUUCUAAAAUUUUAAACAUAACUUUUUUUAAAAAAAAACAACUUUUGGCAACGGAUCUCUUGGCUCUC
This 256-nucleotide unclassified non-coding RNA is filed under the name air metagenome. Its description in RNAcentral is "partial contains small subunit ribosomal RNA, internal transcribed spacer 1, and 5.8S ribosomal RNA". The stretch from base 1 to 46 matches the Rfam family "Eukaryotic small subunit ribosomal RNA", at positions 1786 to 1831 of the family's 1831-position model. The record is from RNAcentral.